RNAcentral lists this long non-coding RNA (260 nucleotides) under Anas platyrhynchos platyrhynchos (common mallard). RNAcentral describes it as "lncRNA (ENSAPLG00000030553.1)". Lineage: Eukaryota; Metazoa; Chordata; Aves; Anseriformes; Anatidae. The record is from RNAcentral.
UCUUGCUGUCCACUUGCCUCUUCUAUUCUGUCUUAAGCAGCCACAGCAAUAUCCUAUCUCUUCUGCUACUCAUCCAUACAACAUAGCUGUUUUUCUCAUUGGAAUAUUCUUUGUUAUCCAGAAAAUGCCAUUUGAAAAUGAGUUUCUCUGAUCUUUCAUCUUACUGGGACAUGACCGAGCUAUGAAAAGUGAACUUCAAGAUCUUUGGGAUAUGAGCAUUUGAAGUUGUUUUGUACAAAGACUUUUGAAGGAACCAGUGU